Molecule: non-coding RNA, 69 nt
Organism: Rattus norvegicus (Norway rat)
Lineage: Eukaryota; Metazoa; Chordata; Mammalia; Rodentia; Muridae
Source: Rfam
GGGGAUUUAGCUUAGUGGUAGAGCGCUUGCCUAGCAAGCGCAAGGCCCUGGGUUCGGUCCCCAGCUCCA